CCUGUGUCUUAAUUUAGGUUUGUAUCUUAUGCACUUAGUUUGUCUUUAGAUUUUCAUCAGUUUGUUCAUCGUGUCUGAGUCUAUCCUUCAUCUUCAUUCUAUAUGUCUGAGUUCUGUUAGUACUUUACCUUGUUUCUUGAAUCUGUCUAGGUAUUGUCUGCAAGCUUGAUCUCCUUUACUCCUCAAUCAUAAAUUAUUUUGCUUUUGUACUCUUGAGUUUCUGACUGUUAGUUAUAUGGUGCAUGCGGGUAGUAUCGUAUAUCUUAUAGUUCGUCUAUCCAUUUACUACUUUUACAUGUACGCACGUAGCUUGUCCUUUGCUGC
This 324-nucleotide long non-coding RNA is filed under the name Elaeis guineensis (African oil palm). Its description in RNAcentral is "long non-coding RNA (EGUI_LNC048624)". Lineage: Eukaryota; Viridiplantae; Streptophyta; Magnoliopsida; Arecales; Arecaceae. The record is from RNAcentral.